UAAGGAAUAUUGGUCAAUGGAGGCAACUCUGAACCAGCCAUGCCGCGUGAAGGAUUAAGGCCCUCUGGGUUGUAAACUUCUUUUAUAUGGGAAGAAAUGUACUUUUUCUAAAGUGCUUGACGGUACCAUAGGAAUAAGCUCCGGCUAACUCCGUGCCAGCAGCCGCGGUAAUACGGAGGGUGCAAGCGUUAUCCGGAUUUACUGGGUUUAAAGGGUGCGUAGGCGGAUGAAUAAGUCAGUGGUGAAAUCUCCGAGCUUAACUCGGAAACUGCCGUUGAUACUAUUUGUCUUGAAUAUUGUGGAGGUAAGCGGAAUAUGUCAUGUAGCGGUGAAAUGCUUAGAUAUGACAUAGAACACCAAUUGCGAAGGCAGCUUGCUACACAAUCAUUGACGCUGAGGCACGAAAGCGUGGGGAUCAAACA
This 422-nucleotide ribosomal RNA is filed under the name uncultured bacterium. RNAcentral describes it as "bacterial SSU rRNA". It matches the Rfam family "Bacterial small subunit ribosomal RNA", at positions 355 to 774 of the family's 1533-position model. The record is from RNAcentral.